RNAcentral lists this ribosomal RNA (253 nucleotides) under uncultured bacterium. Its description in RNAcentral is "partial 16S ribosomal RNA". It matches the Rfam family "Bacterial small subunit ribosomal RNA", at positions 524 to 776 of the family's 1533-position model. The record is from RNAcentral.
UACGUAGGGAGCAAGCGUUGUCCGGAAUCAUUGGGCGUAAAGCGCGCGUAGGCGGCCCGAUAAGUCCGCUGUAAAAGUCAACGGCUCAACUGUUGAAAGCCGGUGGAUACUGUCGGGCUAGAGUACGGAAGAGGCAAGUGGAAUUCCUGGUGUAGCGGUGGAAUGCGCAGAUAUCAGGAAGAACACCCGUGGCGAAGGCGGCUCUCUGGGACGGUACUGACGCUGAGACGCGAAAGCGUGGGGAGCGAACAGG